GAUGAACGCUGGCGGUAUGCUUAACACAUGCAAGUCGAACGGACUCUUCGGAGUUAGUGGCGGACGGGUGAGUAACGCGUGAGAAUCUGGCUUUGGGUUCGGGACAACCACUGGAAACGGUGGCUAAUACCGGAUGUGCCGAGAGGUAAAAGAGAAAUUGCCUGAAGAUGAGCUCGCGUCUGAUUAGCUAGUUGGUGAGGUAAAGGCUCACCAAGGCAGCGAUCAGUAGCUGGUCUGAGAGGAUGACCAGCCACACUGGGACUGAGACACGGCCCAGACUCCUACGGGAGGCAGCAGUGGGGAAUUUUCCGCAAUGGGCGAAAGACUGACGGAGCAAUACCGCGUGAGGGAAGAAGGCUCUUGGGUUGUAAACCUCUUUUCUUAGGGAGGAACAAAAUGACGGUACCUAAGGAAUCAGCAUCGGCUAACUCCGUG
RNAcentral lists this ribosomal RNA (435 nucleotides) under uncultured bacterium. Its description in RNAcentral is "partial 16S ribosomal RNA". It matches the Rfam family "Bacterial small subunit ribosomal RNA", at positions 28 to 507 of the family's 1533-position model. The record is from RNAcentral.